This 200-nucleotide ribosomal RNA is filed under the name uncultured bacterium. Its description in RNAcentral is "partial 16S ribosomal RNA". It matches the Rfam family "Bacterial small subunit ribosomal RNA", at positions 300 to 504 of the family's 1533-position model. The record is from RNAcentral.
UCGAACGGCGGCACGGGGCCAGGACGCCUACGGGAGGCAGCAGUGGGGAAUAUUGGACAAUGGGCGAAAGCCUGAUCCAGCCAUGCCGCGUGUGUGAAGAAGGUCUUCGGAUUGUAAAGCACUUUAAGUUGGGAGGAAGGGUAGUAACUUAAUACGUUGCUACUUUGACGUUACCGACAGAAUAAGCACCGGCUAACUUC